RNAcentral lists this ribosomal RNA (440 nucleotides) under uncultured bacterium. Its description in RNAcentral is "partial 16S ribosomal RNA". It matches the Rfam family "Bacterial small subunit ribosomal RNA", at positions 338 to 795 of the family's 1533-position model. The record is from RNAcentral.
CCUACGGGCGGCAGCAGUGGGGAAUAUUGCACAAUGGGGGAAACCCUGAUGCAGCGAUGCCGCGUGAGCGAAGAAGUACUUCGUUACGUAAAGCUCUAUCAGCAGGGAAGAAAAGGACGGUACCUGAGUAAGAAGCCCCGGCUAAUUACGUGCCAGCAGCCGCGGUAAUACGGCGGGGGCGAGCGUGAACCGGAUUUACUGGGUGGAAAGGGAGCGUGGACGGUUCGCCAAGGCUGGGGUGAAAUGGCGCAGCUUAAAUGCGGAACUGCUUUGGAAACUGGCGAACUAGAGGGCGGGAGGGGUAGGCGGAAUGCCUAGUGUAGCGGUGAAAUGCGUAGAUAUUAGGAAGAACACCGGUGGCGAAGGCGGCUUACUGGACCGUAACUGACGUUGAGGCACGAAAGCGUGGGGAGCAAACAGGAUUAGAUACCCUUGUAGUC